Molecule: ribosomal RNA, 384 nt
Filed under: Sphenomorphus stellatus
Lineage: Eukaryota; Metazoa; Chordata; Lepidosauria; Squamata; Scincidae
Description: partial 16S ribosomal RNA
Rfam family: Bacterial large subunit ribosomal RNA
Source: RNAcentral
UUUAACGGCCGCGGUAUUCUAACCGUGCAAAGGUAGCGUAAUCACUUGUCUUUUAAAUAAAGACUUGUAUGAACGGCUAAAUGAGGAUAAACCUGUCUCCUAUGACUAAUCAGUGAAACUGAUCUCCCAGUACAAAAGCUGGAAUAACAACAUAAGACGAGAAGACCCUGUGGAGCUUUAAACUAAGUUUAAGUUGGGGCGACUUCGGAAUAAAACAAAACCUCCGAGCACACACUGAUCAACGAACCAAGUUACCCCAGGGAUAACAGCGCUAUCUUCUUCAAGAGUCCCUAUCGACAAGAAGGUUUACGACCUCGAUGUUGGAUCAGGACACCCAAAUGGUGCAGCCGCUAUUAAAGGUUCGUUUGUUCAACGAUUAACAGU